This 573-nucleotide small RNA is filed under the name Pan troglodytes (chimpanzee). RNAcentral describes it as "retained intron". The record is from RNAcentral. Lineage: Eukaryota; Metazoa; Chordata; Mammalia; Primates; Hominidae.
UAUAUAACUUGGUUUUCAGAGUUGUGGUUAAAUAAGGAUAAAUGGCUGGGCAUAGCAAUGUGUUGUAUUUAUAGUCUUUUUUUAUAUUUAAUAUCCUAUAUGCUGCUAAGAGCAGUCACCCUUAAUAUACAGUUAAAGUUGUUCAACUUUUAUGUCUCAGUUACAAACUGUCUGUAAAAAAAUUCUUUUUUUGAGAAUUAUUAGUAUAAAACAGCCAUGUACUUUGGACAAAGAUAAAUACUUGCAGAUUCUUAAAGUAAAACCUUUACAGUAAUUUGGUAUGGAUUUUUAAAAGACUAGAAACUUAAAAAUGUGUUAAAACCAAGAUAAAAUUUUUCCCUUUAUUUUUAUUUUAAAGAAGGUGAGGGAAAUGGUAAAUAAUUUCAAAUUUUAUAGGCCGCAAAAGAUAAGUACCGUGAAUUGGCCGUGGAAGGGAUGCACAGAGAACUUGUGUUCCGGUUUAUUGAAGUUCAGACACUUCUCCUCGCUCCAUUCUGUCCACAUUUGUGUGAGCACAUCUGGACACUCCUGGGAAAGCCUGACUCAAUUAUGAAUGCUUCAUGGCCUGUGGCA